Schistocerca americana (American grasshopper) is the source of this 2492-nucleotide long non-coding RNA. RefSeq lists it as uncharacterized. The transcript is spliced from 3 exons. NCBI's taxonomy places the organism in Eukaryota, Metazoa, Arthropoda, Insecta, Orthoptera, Acrididae. The record is from RefSeq and is a predicted model, not a curated record.
GCCGCGGCGAGCGUGUCGGAUGGCAUUGGUGACCACGUGGCGCGAAGGCGUUCGGGAGUCGUUCGGAAUCAGAAAUAAACUACUUUAGUUUCCUCAGAAUCUGCUAAACGAUCCAUCUACCGCCAUCGACAGUCCAACAGUGUCCAAAUUCGCAACUAUCGAGUCCGUUGACGUAAUCGAGAAGACCUGUCAUCCCUUACCAAGAAAAAUCGUGUGUAAACAAAUAAAAUUCAAAGUGAAGUGAAUGUUACAAAAUAACCGAUAACCAAAACUGUGAAUGUUUUUUAACUCUUCUCGUUGUUCAAUAAAAAUGCCGUUCGUCUGAGAAAGUAAACAACGUGUUUAUUCACCUCAGUCAUUAGCCUCCAACAAUGUAACAUGGAAGAAAUACGUAUACAGAAAAAGUUAUGACUACAAGAAGAUUUAGUGAUACUCUCCGUCGGUACAGACGAGGGUCACACGUUUCCCAGCAACGGAACAAACAGAGAUGGCUGAUGAAGAGAUUAUGAAAUUAAUGACGAAAAUUGAUUCAGAACUCUCUGAUACGGAGGCUGAUGAUACUGAGAAUGAAGAUAAUCUGUGGAUGCCACAAGAUGAUACUAAUGACAAGGAAAGUUCAGCAUCAGAAGAAGAAUCUUCUGGUAUUCCUCAUACACAACAGAGACAACAGUUCCAGAGACACGCAAAACAAUCAGUGACGCUCUUGUAAACUUCAGUGUGAUGCUGAUGUUGGUACCUCAGAAGACUUAGAUGAACUGAUGAAGCCAUUAGGAUAUUUUUCCAUGCAGUUUCGUGGUUUCUUUUUUAAAGGUGUCACAAUUAGCAAAUUGUAAGCCUGUACGUAAAACUGUCAAGCCCUUAAAUAUACUGUGCUGAAAUGCUCACAUGCAUUGUCAUGUAAGAUAACAGCAGGAAGUAAAAAGGGAAACCCAACCCAGAUUGGUUAAUCUUAAGAACUCGUUGCAAAGAAAUAAUCGACUAGUUUUCUAAUUAAUACUGUGCGUCCGGGUGUUCCGUCGAGUUGUUGUUUCAAUUUUAUGCACAGAGGGAACAACUCGGUAGAACUCCCGGAAGCAUAUUAUUAACCAAUCCCGUCGAGAAAACCUGAGAGAUAAAUUCAUUUUCAAUCGACUGAUCGAUAAUUUACUUCUGUUACUACCCUUGAUUGCUUAUUGAGUUACAGAAAAAUCACAUCUUCUGGCUUACUAUUGUUGUGCAUUAUGCUAAGAUACAUUGUUUCAUUGGGAUGCAACCUAAUUCAAAACGUUUCCAGAAGUUUGUGGUCAGGAGUGACAAAUCGUAGCAGUGAUCAAAUAGUUUGAUAAAAGUCCAAUAUUUCUGAAUUUGAAUAAAUUCUGUGUUGAGCUAGUUGAAAACUGCACCCCGUUUACUAAGAAACAAUACUACAUCUAAGUCCCUCGUCUGUUUGUAGUGGAGUCAUACGAUACCAGCAUAUGGGAAGCAAACGUACUAGACAGAGCAAUGGGAGAAUAAGGCAUAAGAAUCCGGUCCUACAGAUGGAUAACUAGCGUGAUUCAUCGCAAUGUGAACUUCACGACUGCAGCUGCGUGGUUAGUAUAGAGAAUACUGUGCUAAAUGGAAUUACGAAGAAAUGUACAAUGCAGAAUAUUGAUUCAGACUUGAUAUUGCAGAAAGUGUAAUAUAAUUUGAACAAAAAAUCUAACUUUAAGAGGGAAACAAGAGAGCAGGAGACACAUGAAGAAGACAGAAAGCAAGAUGUACCCAAUACAACGAAAGGCGUACACCUCCUUGGCCCCCUAGAGUCAGUGAAGACAUGUUAAUAAAACAUGCUUAAUUUUUGUGAAACGAUGUUUCAAAAUGUCGGGCAGAAAUUUGCAGAAGUCUCGCAUAAGUGGAAGACGGGUUAAGAGUUCAUUUGUUUUACUACAGAUUGGAAUAGUCUUUAUUCAUUCCAUAAUAAAUAGUAUUAAUUGUGAACAAAUAGUAUUAACCUAGUUCUCAAAUACAUUUUAUCACUAAUAAAAUCUACACAUUUUUAAUGUUAGACAUAGUAUUUUUAUUUUAGUAUUUCUGAGUUGUUUGCUAACAACUACUGAGUAUUUUAUUACAAUGUAUGUAUUAUAAAUACACCUGGUAGUAGGAACUAAAAAUAAAUAUCCAUUGCAAACUUUUCGUCCAUUAUUUUUUGUAAAACAGCUGCAGACUGUAUGAAAGUAUACAAAUGUCUUCAAGUGUCGGCAUAUUAUACGUGAAACUAAGCGUAAAAAACAUAAAAUAAUUUUUAAAAAUGUUUGAGGAUAAUGUAUUUUUAACACUCUUCAAGAUAAUAUUGUGAUCACUAAGGUACUUGUACUUUAAAUGUGUGCUCUGGAAUGAAUAGGACACAUGUAAAUCUAGUGCUUGUACCUGAAAUAGCAAACCUUUAUAUGAUAAGUAUUGCAUCUAACGCUAAUAUUUUAUGUCAGUUAAUAACUGUAUUAGCAGAAAUAGUCUCUCCAGACAGUAAUAUU